CAUUCCCAGGGGAGAAGAGUUGCUUUUUGCAUGUGGAAAGAAGAUUCCAGGGACAAGGCAGCGUUCUCAAGGCAGUGUAGUCACAAAGGAGACCUCAGUGAACCCCCGGGAAGCAGUGGAUCUGGGGCAGCCCUGCAGAGUCGUUCUGAAGAAUUGAGGCAAGAUGAACUCACCUGUCAUGCUGAGAGAAGCCCAAGCUACAAGGAAAGGCCAUAUGUAGAUGCUUUGGUCAACCAUCCCAGAGAAGCCCAGCCUUGGAAUCAUCUCAGCUCAGAAAUGCUACGCAUAGAAUUUCAUGGAAAAGAAGCAUUUCGUCUUCAAAGGAAGUUGUGAGGAAUAUGGAAACACGGACCCCUCUGCCUUCCAACUUCAAGUAUACAACACUUUGCAGCAAAACAUUCGAUGUCUGCAGAGCUGGCCUUGGCUUACAGACCACACACCGUCCGCUGGACUUGUUGCCCCGUGGCCACGCCCACCACUCCCCUCUUCUAGG
This is a non-coding RNA of Vicugna pacos (alpaca), 493 nucleotides long. Lineage: Eukaryota; Metazoa; Chordata; Mammalia; Artiodactyla; Camelidae. The record is from RefSeq and is a predicted model, not a curated record.